GACGAACGCUGGCGGCGUGCCUAAUACAUGCAAGUCGAACGAAGCUGUUUUAACUGGUGCUUGCACCGACUUAAACAACUGAGUGGCGAACGGGUGAGUAACACAUGGGUAACCUGCCCCAAAGCGGGGGAUAACAUUUGGAAACAGAUGCUAGUACCGCAUAAUCACAGAAACCACAUGGUUUCUGUGUCAAAGAUGGUUUCGGCUAUCACUUUGGGAUGGACCCGCGGCGUAUUAGCUAGUUGGUAAGGUAAUGGCUUACCAAGGCAAUGAUACGUAGCCGAACUGAGAGGUUGAUCGGCCACAUUGGGACUGAGACACGGCCCAAACUCCUACGGGAGGCAGCAGUAGGGAAUCUUCCACAAUGGACGAAAGUCUGAUGGAGCAACGCCGCGUGAGUGAAGAAGGUUUUCGGAUCGUAAAACUCUGUUGUCAGAGAAGAACGUGUGCGAGAGUAACUGUUCGUGCAGUGACGGUAUCUGGCCAGAAAGCCACGGCUAACUACGUGCCAGCCGCCGCAGUAA
This 524-nucleotide ribosomal RNA is filed under the name uncultured bacterium. RNAcentral's name for it is "partial 16S ribosomal RNA". It matches the Rfam family "Bacterial small subunit ribosomal RNA", at positions 28 to 523 of the family's 1533-position model. The record is from RNAcentral.